This is a non-coding RNA of Drosophila melanogaster (fruit fly), 704 nucleotides long. The record is from Ensembl. Lineage: Eukaryota; Metazoa; Arthropoda; Insecta; Diptera; Drosophilidae.
CUCCAACACGGUGUCAUUAUUUUCCACCUGAAAAACACAACCAAAGUGAGCUUCUCAAUCUUGGAUAUCUAGAACUUUUCCUUUCAUACCUGAUAUUGACAACAUGGAUCGUAGUUCCAGGAAACCGUGUACAGUCCUGUGCAAAAAAUCGAGAGUGCACAAGCGGGAGCUGCAAUGAUGGGGCGAUCCCGCCACAGCAAGCUGGCCACCAGGGAAACCACUCCAGUGGCCACCGCCGUCUUGUGCAGGCAAUUGCCCACCCAAAUCCAACGACCUUUUCGUCGCCCAGCCGAGGCGGCUCUAUAACGAUGAAGUCCAACUUGGCUUCCAGCGCCUUGUCCAGCUCAGCCUCGAAUCUUUCAUGGGCAUUGGAGCUGUCGUAGACCUCGCGGAUGACAUGGAAAGUGGGCACCUUACUCGUGCUGCACAAUUAGAACAACAAUACACGAAUCAAUCAUGGUUAUCUUGAUGUGGAACUCAAGGUUAAGGUCAAGAUCAAGCGCUCAGAACAACCGAAGCAGAGAAGCCAUUGUGCAGACGAGAUAAAUGAAGAAGCCGCCUAGUAAAUUGCAUAACCAGGGCAGGUGCACUUGGGAACUGGGAUUUGGCUGCACCCAGGUGGAAUGUGUUGCGUAAUCCCACUGCAUUCACGUAACUAGGCGCCGUAUUUACCUUUCUAUAUUUCUGCUAACCAUUUUGCUAAU